Long non-coding RNA from Galendromus occidentalis (western predatory mite), 578 nucleotides. RefSeq lists it as uncharacterized. The transcript has 3 exons. Lineage: Eukaryota; Metazoa; Arthropoda; Arachnida; Mesostigmata; Phytoseiidae. The record is from RefSeq and is a predicted model, not a curated record.
AAAUCGUCACGACCUUCUUCGUAUAAGAGUUCGAAAUCUUCUGCGCUUCGCCAGUUGCUGCUGUAUCGUCGCUUCGAGAUGGCCUCCGGAAAAACGUGCUUCAUGCUUCUCGUCGCCCUCUUCGUGGUACUCGCCACCGUGUCGGUCGUGGAGGCUCAUAAAAUCGACAUUGAUGACGCUUUGGAGUUCCUCGAGAACAUGGACCGUGAAUAUUCCGCAAAGGCUCGCCCCAGAUUCGGACGGAGUGUUGGAUCUCAGAGGUUGUGCGCUGGAUGCGGUGGGCCCGGAGAACGGAUGUAGUUCCCCUAGGUGACGAACGGGCCCCCGGCGAGAGUGAGGAGACUCGACAAGCGAUGGAAUUUCGGAAAACCAGCCAGAGAUCCAGAGAGGAUUCCCCAGCAGCAGUUAGCGUCCCACUCUUAGAUCCAACCCGAUCUGAUGAGGCACCGAUUAGGUCACCUGCUCGUAGCUUAGAGUACCGAAGCUUAUUUCACAGACGACCGUAGGCGAAGGCUCCCCGAGCGCCGAACCGGUUUCGUGUCUUAUGAUCUCUAAAUAAAUUUCGAAACGUUAUCGUU